CGGGACUUUUUCUGGUAGCAAUACCGGAAAAAGUCUAGUGGCGAACGGGUGCGUAACACGUGGACAAUCUGCCUUAAAGUGGGGGAUAGCUCGGCGAAAGCCGAAUUAAUACCGCAUGUGAUGAGGGAAGACAUCUUUCUGAAAUCAAAGCCGGGGCAACCUGGCGCUUUUUGAGGAGUCCGCGGCCUAUCAGCUUGUUGGUGAGGUAACGGCUCACCAAGGCUAUGACGGGUAGCUGGUCUGAGAGGACGACCAGUCACACUGGAACUGAGACACGGUCCAGACACCUACGGGUGGCAGCAGUCGAGAAUUUUUCUCAAUGGGGGAAACCCUGAAGGAGCGACGCCGCGUGGAGGAUGAAGGCCCUUGGGUUGUAAACUCCUGUCGGUUGGGAAGAAAUCUAGCGGGGCUAAUACCUCCGCUAGUUGACUGUACCAGCAAAGGAAACCCGGCUAACUCUGUGCCAGCAGCCGCGGUAAUACAGAGGGGGCCAGCGUUAUUCGGAAUUAUUGGGCGUAUAGGGCGCGUAGGCGGCCAUGCGUGUCUUCCGUGAAAUCCCUCGGCUUAACUGAGGACGUGCGGGAGAAACUGCAAGGCUUGAGUCCGGGAGAGGGGGGUGGAAUUCCCAGUGUAGCGGUGAAAUGCGUAGAUAUUGGGAGGAACACCGGUGGCGAAGGCGGCCCCC
RNAcentral lists this ribosomal RNA (685 nucleotides) under uncultured soil bacterium. Its description in RNAcentral is "bacterial SSU rRNA". It matches the Rfam family "Bacterial small subunit ribosomal RNA", at positions 63 to 729 of the family's 1533-position model. The record is from RNAcentral.